This 102-nucleotide ribosomal RNA is filed under the name uncultured bacterium. RNAcentral describes it as "partial 16S ribosomal RNA". The record is from RNAcentral.
GGCCUGGCGGGUUAGUAAAGCUAUUUGUGGGAUGAAAUGUUCAGGGUUAAUACCCCUGGAUCUUGACCUAACCCAAAGAAAAAGCACCGGCUAACUCUGUGC